RNAcentral lists this ribosomal RNA (433 nucleotides) under uncultured bacterium. RNAcentral describes it as "partial 16S ribosomal RNA". It matches the Rfam family "Bacterial small subunit ribosomal RNA", at positions 29 to 507 of the family's 1533-position model. The record is from RNAcentral.
AACGAACGCUGGCGGCAUGCCUAACACAUGCAAGUCGAACGAGACCUUCGGGUCUAGUGGCGCACGGUUUCGUAACGCGUGGGAACCUUCCCUUAGGUUCGGAAUAACUCCCCGAAAGGGGUGCUAAUACCGGAUAAUGUCUUCGGACCAAAGAUUUAUCGCCUUUGGAUGGGCCCGCGUUGGAUUAGCUAGUUGGUAGGGUAAAAGCCUACCAAGGCGACGAUCCAUAGCUGGUCUGAGAGGAUGAUCAGCCACACUGGGACUGAGACACGGCCCAGACUCCUACGGGAGGCAGCAGUGGGGAAUAUUGGACAAUGGGCGAAAGCCUGAUCCAGCAAUGCCGCGUGAGUGAUGAAGGCAUUAGGGUUGUAAAGCUCUUUUACCCGGGAUGAUAAUGGCAGUACCGGGAGAAUAAGCUCCGGCUAACUCCGUG